Dipodomys ordii (Ord's kangaroo rat) is the source of this 71-nucleotide non-coding RNA. The record is from Rfam. NCBI's taxonomy places the organism in Eukaryota, Metazoa, Chordata, Mammalia, Rodentia, Heteromyidae.
GGGAAUGUGGCUUAGUUGGUAGAGUGCUUGCCUUGCAUGCAUGAAGCCCUGGGUUCAAUUCCUCAGUACCA